RNAcentral lists this long non-coding RNA (1775 nucleotides) under Dermacentor andersoni. Its description in RNAcentral is "uncharacterized LOC126526181". Lineage: Eukaryota; Metazoa; Arthropoda; Arachnida; Ixodida; Ixodidae. The record is from RNAcentral.
UUGUGGAUGUAUGACUGCAGCAGCAUAGCAUGUGAUCUGGAUGGUCAUGUCAGGCUCCACCGUCGCCGUUACUAGACGGACCAAAUGAGGCCAAAAACUAGCCUUUCCUCGCUCCUUUCCUGGGAAGUGAAAUAGCAGGUGAUCAUGUAAGAAUGAACUUGCAACAUGUGGGCAGUGGCCAAAGCGCCCUACAGGUCAUGCUGGUGGUGGAAUGAUAAGACAAACCGCAAUAUUUAUUUGUUUACUUAUUCACUUAAUAUUUAUUUAUUCAUAUCUCAUGAAUACUGUGCAGUUUUUCAGCAAGGGAUCAGGUAAAAUAAAGAAAUAUUGUUGCAUCAAAGUAAAUGUUAUUUGAAGAAGCAUAAGUCACGUAGCACAGUACCAUGAUAAAACAUUUUUAGACAACUAGUCUGCUUUUGAUACGAAUUCAUAAAAACUAAAUUUUGAAGAAACAGAGCAGUAAGGUUAACAAAUCUUAUAUAACUAAAAAAUGAGAUCACAUUUCUGUUGUACCUAAUACCAUAAUUUAAUCUGUCAAAUUAGAGAUACCAUAUGCUGCUCUAAUAUACAAUCAUUAAUUUAUGAGUAGAUGCGCGAAACUCUCAAACAUUGCAACAAUUUCAUGUAAACUGUAAAUUCAUAUAUACAGCUUGUUGACUUUAGACAUAGCAGAUGGAGUCUGCAGAACUAUGAUAUCUCUUUCUGGCACAGAGACGGGGAUUAGUAAGCUUCGUGGUGUUAUUUUUCCUAAAGCUGCCAAAUAGUUCUUCCUGCAACAAGUAGAAUUCUCAAAUGCCACAAACUUAAUUCAAAUUAGUGCUGUGGUUGUCUCAAAAGUAUUUCUGUAUUUUGGAUGUAUUUGAGUAGGAAAAUUUACAGAAUUGACUAACUUGUGCUUGUUCUUUUUUUUUAUUUACAGUUGCAAACUAAGUCCUUUUCCUUCAAGUUUUGCUAUUUUCAGCAAAUUUUAAUAAGAAUUGAUGGUGUUAAUCUAAAAACUAUAAUUUAAACAUUUUUAAAUGUAUCAAACCUCAUCAAAUUUGGUUGCAUAGUUGCCGAGAAAAACUAUUUUACUGUUCAUGUGCAUUACAUAGGAGCUCCUGAGCUAAAUCUCUUUUUUAGUCAUUGCGUGUGUCGGUCUGGUUUGUAUUUCUCACCCUAAUUAGAAUGUUGGCUCUGAUCACAAGAUUGUUUCCCUUACAACGAAAUACAAGCUUUUAAACUUUUUACGAUAUAUGCUGCACUGCUCUAUGAUAACCACUGUUUGCCACAUUUUUGCAGGGCCUGCCAGUGCUAGUUUUACACAUAAACAUAGACUAAAAUGCUGUGUGGUUUCGGAAUAUGGUGUACUUUUCUGUGAAAGCCAUUAUCUGCCACAUUUUUGCAGCGACUGCCAGUGUUAUUUUUGCACAGACUAAAAUGCUGUGUCGUUUCGUCAGGCUGACACAACAUUGCAGUGCACAUUCAUAUCAGUGUAUUUUCAGGCUUUAGUAUCCCAACAUUUAAUGUGCACUGCUGGAACAGGCACUCCUUUUGCAGUUUUAAUCGUAUGGUUUAUUGUCCUAGUCAAGCCUGUUAUUGCAAGGUUUCAACUGUAAUCAAGUCUGCCACUGAUUCUUUUACCUCGUGUUUCGCGUGUUUGCACCACCAGCUUGACCUGAGAAGCAUGUUGGCAGCUACAGUUUGUGUGUUGCAAGUUCUAGUCUGAAGCGUGUAUGUCACAUAUAUGAAGCAUGUAUCUAGUCUGAAGUGCAAUAAACAUUUCAAACUGAAUA